This 900-nucleotide long non-coding RNA is filed under the name Androctonus crassicauda. The record is from RNAcentral. Lineage: Eukaryota; Metazoa; Arthropoda; Arachnida; Scorpiones; Buthidae.
AUUCUUUCAAAGAAUAAUUCAAUGAAGAUCGGUAAAAUGGUGAAUUUUUCGAUAGGUACAAGCAAACAAUAUGAUAGCAUUAUAAAUUUCAAUGUUCUACCAAGUUAACUAUUUACAAUUCGAAGAGUGGAAAUGUAUGCUGAUAUUUCGUGAACCUUCACGAAAUAAAUAGUAUUGCAUAAAAGAAUAUUUCACGACUGAAACUAUAGAAAAAUCAAUAAGCAGAUAAUCAACACUAAGUUUUUCCUAAUAUACGGAAUAUAUAUUCAAUCUAUGCAGAAGCAUCGCCACUUCCCUCAUCCCUGUAGAAGUAUAAGCAGGAUUGUGAAGAACAGAGAGAGAUGGGUUAGAUCUGGCCUUAUGAAAGAAAUUUUCGAGGAUACCGAUUCGAUUCCAGAGGAGUGGUAUUCCAGAAUCAAACCCAUGUCCUUUCCGAUGGAAACCAAACUGUUCCUGCAACCAACCCAGCCCGUGAUAUCGGACAUUAGUUAUAGCUGUGGUGAGUUUUAGAGCCCUUUGAUGCUAAUCAGACCCAUUUCUUCAAACUUCGGGUUCAUUCCAAAUGGACUGGGCCCAGUCGUCCCUAUCGGCCGCAUAGAAACGCUUCAGCUUUCCACUAUGGUACACCCGGUUCGACUCUCGGGUACCAACUCUUAAAAAUGUUUAUCAUGGUGUUCGGACCCGGUCGGUCGAUCCCCCACUUCCAAAUCUGCCUAAACAUUCCAACCUAUAACGGCUGCAGGGGUCAGCCACAGGGAUAGCCAGCCUAUGGAAAACACAAUUGCAAGGGUCUUCGAGGGAUUGGCAGCUUAUGAAUACGCUUAUUUCGCCUCAUUACUUGGUAUUCUAUUAGAAUUUAAAAAUAAAUUUCGGACAAAUUAAUGCCACUUUAAAGACUCA